This 243-nucleotide ribosomal RNA is filed under the name uncultured bacterium. RNAcentral's name for it is "partial 16S ribosomal RNA". It matches the Rfam family "Bacterial small subunit ribosomal RNA", at positions 534 to 776 of the family's 1533-position model. The record is from RNAcentral.
GCAAGCGUUGUUCGGAAUUACUGGGCGUAAAGGGUUCGUAGGUGGCCUGCUAAGUCAAACGUGAAAUCCCUCAGCUUAACUGGGGAACUGCGUCUGAGACUGGUGGGCUUGAGUGCAGGAGAGGAACGCGGAAUUCCAGGUGUAGCGGUGAAAUGCGUAGAUAUCAGGAGGAACACCGGUGGCGAAGGCGGCUUUCUGGACAGAUACCGACGCUGAGGCACGAAAGCUAGGGGAGCAAACAGG